UCCCUGGUGGCCUAGUGGUUAAAGGGUCCAGCGUUGUCACUGCUGAGGCCCAGGUUUAAUCCCCGGCCCAGGAA
RNAcentral lists this transfer RNA (74 nucleotides) under Sus scrofa (pig). It matches the Rfam family "tRNA". Rfam says of the family: Transfer RNA (tRNA) molecules are approximately 80 nucleotides in length. Lineage: Eukaryota; Metazoa; Chordata; Mammalia; Artiodactyla; Suidae. The record is from Rfam by way of RNAcentral.